This 18691-nucleotide long non-coding RNA is filed under the name Xyrichtys novacula (pearly razorfish). The record is from RNAcentral. Lineage: Eukaryota; Metazoa; Chordata; Actinopteri; Labriformes; Labridae.
GUCAGCUUCGGCUUGACUCAGGGAGUAGGACGCCCCUGCCUUGCAUAAGUCCCAUGAGAGAAGAUACCAUCUAUCUCGUGACGAGUCUGGACUCACGCAAGCACAGGUCUGAUCAGCCUGUAGCUGGCCACCUUGGGGAGGGUGUAUAGUGUGGAGGCCGAAACAUCCCAGGAACCAAGGCUACACUACUGAUGAUGCAUAUCCAGCUCCCAUUCUCCAUCAUUCAUCACCAAGGCGACAAGAAGAUGUUCUACCAUUCAUCACUCUUAGGCAUGUGCUCGCACAAAGGAGUUAACAUCUUAUCCUGUGUUUGAUAAACUGGGAUUGUUUGAGACCAUGAAGAUUAAGAGGGUUAAUACCGCAAAAUUUAAUGACAUUAUGCCAAGUAAAAGACUCAAAAGUGAUAAAAAUGACCCCUUUUAGUAUUUUUGUAUUUUUUUCUUUUAUUAUAUUAUUAUUUUAUUAUAUAUUAUCACAUAUUUUAUAAUUGGAAUAAUGUGAUGGUUGCAUUUUGAUCCUGAGGUUGGCCAAAAUGGACUAAUUAACAACUAAAAUCAUAAUGACUUACAAAUAAACUGUAUGUUUUAGGCUAUAGUCACUGACUACAUUUGCGGUAGAACUGAUAUAAAAAUAAGUUUUUAUGAAGCCCAAGGGUGAGUGAUUCAACUGUCUACUGUCUGUUGGGUAAAAGCCUUUUUCAGGUGGUAAGGAGAGACAGUAACAGCACAGAGUCAAACGCUGACCCAAGUCUAUCCCAGGACAGAGGUUAUAAGAAACCAAACACUCUGGGCUAAAUAACGUAGAUGUCAGAAGGUCAGGUUUGAGUAUCGCAUUGUACGUUUAGCACCCCCUAGUGGAGAGUUGUAGUAUAACAUGCCAAAUAAAGCUGGUGAAGUCACUAUAUUAAAAGGCAAGAUUCUUCAGCAGUAAUGUGUAGUACUCUAAGUUUUUCUCUACUUUGUCUUUUCUCUUGCACUUAGUUUUAGCUGCCAGUAGAAAAGCUGAUUGAUGGUAGCAGAUGUUUCUCUAGCGCGAAAGGAGUGUGUGUGUGUGUGUGUGUGUGUGUGUGUGUGUGUGUGUGUGUGUGUGAGUGUGUGUGUGUGUGUGUGGACUUGCGUGCGUGCACGUGUGUGUGUGGGCGGGAGUGGUGUUAGGUGCCAUUGUGUGGUGUGUAUGCAAAUUGUUGCUGCUUUUGUGUGUUCCUUAAUCUUGUGUGGUAUUUAGCAUUUGUAAUAUGUCAUGAUUGUGUGUGUGUGUGUGUGUGUGUGUGUGUAUGUGUGUGUGUGCGCGUAUGUUUAUGUGUUUGCCCUCGUACAUGGCCCUGUCCAUGACCACAACUGUGUGCAGAAUAACAAUGAGCAUCUUAAGCUACCCUGGCUUUGUGUGCGUUUGUGUAUAUGAGUUUGAGUGUGUGUGUGUGUGUGUGUGUGUGUGUGUCUGUGUGUGUGUAUGUGUGUGUGUGUGUGUGUGUGUGUCUGUGUGUGUGUAUGUGUGUGUGUGUGUGUGUGUGUGUCUGCCAAGGGCCAGCGUUGUCCUAUUGAGUUAAAGAACAGAUUAAAUCCGACCUCUCCUCUUUCUCCUCGCCUUUGCAGUGUGCUACAGUUUUUACAAGCUAUAUCCCAUUAACAUGUUCCUGACCAUCCCAAAGAGCCACACUUAGAAGUAUUAUUGCUGCUAGUUUGCUGGUAUUUUAGGGCAACAUGAGAACCACUUUGCAGAGCUAUGAGCCCCUUUCACACCCCCAGCAUUGCAGCGACACUUGUUGCAUACAGGAGUAGUGGGCAGUAGAUGUCCAAACAAAACUGAGCUGUGGUUGGGGUUGAUUUUACCUUUCAUGUAUGCGGCACAGUCGGACUGAAAUGGGCCUAGGUGAUCUGCCUAUGCUCCAGUGUUCACACGCAUGGCUUUUUGCUGGAAGCUGAAGAGCACAAAUAUAAAUGUGUUGCAAGAAGGCUGGGUAGCAAACAAAACCUCCAUGAAAGAGGGAAGCAGUAAAACAGACAGAACUUUCCUUUCAUACAAACACACUACAGAGCUGUGAAAGUGACAUGUUUUCGUUAUCGACAUACAUCCCUUUAGCUUUUUGCUAACAUGUUUUGUCAAUGGUUUCAAUUUGCCUUUGAUCUACUGGGAAUGGACAGUAUUAACAAACUGACAGGGGGCAAGUGGAGGGAGAGCAUGCUUCUGUAUGUCAUAGCCUUUUUCCCUGUGCAUGUCCACCGUGAUAAGGACAGUAGUCCAAUUAAGUUGAAUAACUGUGCAUGUAAACAUUCUGACACUCCGGAGGAGACGUAGACAGACAGGGGGGUUUGCAAUGUGAUGUUCAAAGUUAUCUGUUAUCUUAGACCAGAGCAGCUGAUCCCCUGAUCAGAACCCUCAAUUUUUCUUUCAUUUAGUUCAGUUCAGUGUUUAAAAAAUACCUGGUUUAAUUUGCUUUAAUCUAAAACUGUGACAUAAAAUCUAACUGAUCAGAUCAGGUCUUUAAAAAGAUGAGGUGAGGACAACUGAACUGUUUGUGUGAGUAAUCAGUAAGGAGACAUGUCAGUGAUGUGUUUGUGUGUGUGUGUGAGCGCCUGUUUGUUUACAUACCUCCAGGUUCAGACACUCUCCUGUGUGUGUGUGUGUGUGUGUGUGUGUGUGUGUGUGUGUGUGUGUGUGUGUGUGUGUGUGUGUGUGUGUGUGUGUGUGUGUGUGUGUGUGUGUGUGUGUGUGUGUGUGUGUGUGCACAUUAAGAGGAGUCCAGGAUGAAUCAGUGUCUCCUGGAGGUGGAAACAGAUCAUACAUAUUUAUUCAGACCCUCUCUGCUCCCUCUCUCCUCCUAUCACUCUGUUGAUUUGUGUGUUGGACACACAGCAGAGGGCAGACUGACGCCUGUGCUGUCUAGACAUCUUAUUAAUGGUUGUCUAUCAGACUGUGUCCAACCUCAGGAUACAAGUGGGUAUGUGACUUUAUUACAGACAAAUACACAACCUAGAGAGUGUUGUGUGUGGAAAUGUGUAUAUAUGUGAGUAUGUAUGUGCUCAUAUGUAUUCAAUUUAUCAAAACAUUUUUGAAUUACUCAUGAUGCAAACCCUUAUUUGUCACUGACCCAUGUACAUUCCUGAUUGGGUGAGUGCUCAGCUUUCUAUUUAUUCAGUGCCUCAGCGGCUAAGUAAUGUGCAGAGGGGUGGGGCUUGAGAGCACUGUUAAGAGAUUGGCAUGCUGUUUUAUGGUCAGAUUAAAUCCAAAAUGUCUUCCUGAGUCAAAAAUCAUGCAUAUUACUCUUCAUAUUCAUAGAUUAAAUGCAAUAUACCAAGCUACUCAUAACUGUAGUCCAGUUAAAUCGCAUAAUUACGCUAUAACCAUAGCUUAACUUUACUGUGCAUGUAAACCUAACGAGUCAGUUUCAACAUGAAUGUUUUUACUACUUGCAGAAUUCACUAUUCUGAUAUUUUUUAUAAUUAAUAAUAAAACGCAAAUUGCAUGUGAGAAAACGAAUAUGUAGUCUGACAUGUAGCACUGUACAAAAUGAAUGGAGCUCGAUUUGAUCAUCAAUGUGAAGAACCCAGAUGUUUCAUCUGAAGAAAUUAUAAGAGUGAGACAGAAGAUAAAGCAUGUGAGUAUCUGAACAAUGACAGGAGAAUUCUGGUCUCAGUAAGAUCUUGUGAUUGAUGAUACGUAAAGAAAAACAGAUGAAAAGAUGAAAGAGAAUGAUUCGAAUUUCAAAUCUAGAAAAAGAACAGAUAAGGUUUGAGACAGCUGCUUUAGGGUCAUCAAGUUCAAGGAAUACAAUCCUUGAAAUCUUAAAUGCUUCUUAGCUGGUAUCUCUUUAAAGCACAAUGAGACAGCACACCCCACUGGAGCAAAUAUCAAAUUCCUCACUCCCCUUACAUUGACAGAGAGGGAGACACCAAGAGGAAAAGUUUCUAUUUUUAGAUUUAUGACAUGUGUUGCUGCUUAAAGUUCUAGUAUGACGGCCUGAAAUAUUUGGAUUAGACUAUCAAACGUGGAGGCAGUCCUGUAAUUGUGGUGAUACAGCGGCUAUUUUCCUCUGAGAUCAUGGCCUGUGUCAGUGGCUAAAACACUGUUAUGUUACAUAGCUGUGUUUCAUGUAGAGCUGACAUAAGUAUUUAAAUAUUUGCUUUGCUUCUUUAUGUCAGGGACUGAUAAAGUGCAAAGGUCCUUACACCGGGACCAACACAAAUAUCCGACGCGAAAUUACGAAAUAUUCUGAGGCAAAUUUUGACACGCCUGACUAUACACAUUAAGCCCGAUGCGAUUUUGCGACUUUCCAGGGGGAUAAAAGACGCAUCCUGGUUGGAAGCGAGAAGACUGACACAACAGCAGACUGACUGUUUUUCAGUUCUGAUAAGACACUAGUGUUGAGAUGGCUGUCUGUCAUUAUAGCAUGUACUAAGUCGGGGCCAGUACCAGAUAAGCACAUUAAACUGUAAUCCAUAAACGUAAGGUAACAACCGAGACCUAAUGGUGCUGUGACAACAAUGCGAUUGAGUUUGAGACAGUGAAAAUACAUAUGGUAUGUUAUAUCUGAACAGGUUAGCUUAUGAGCUGAAGUUCCUUAGCGCAGAUGAAAGUUAAAACAAGGACGUUUAGCAAACUGUUAAAGCACACAAACCAUCGUCAUAUGAGAGAUCUCACGCUAUGACUCUCCACAAGUUGUCCUUCAGGUCGUUAUCUUUUGUAAUGUUUGUGUCUUUUAUCAAAAAGCACUCCAUUCUCCGACACGUAAACAAUCAGCCGGUCAGCCAUGUUGGGUAUACCGGUAAAUCUGACGUCGCAACAACACGCAAUCAGAUUGGUCAGUGGACACACAGUAUGCGAAACUUUAGAAAAAUCUACCAUGAUCCAAAAAAGUAAAUGCCGCAGUAUCACAGGACGGGAAAACGUCACUGAUGUAAACGCUUGUAUUGACAGGAAAUGGGUUCUAAAAAAAAUAUUGACGUCCGAAGUAAUCGCACGAUAAAAACGGUCCCGGUGUGAAAGGACCUUGAAAUAAAAACCUUGAAAAUCUGGUUUAGCAGCAUUUUUCAUUACUGUCCCAACAGCUGAAGUUAGCAGUCAGCCCCACUAACUAUACCUUUAGCUACUGUUGUAGUUAGCUAGCUGACGUAUAUUUGGCUUGCUAGCUAGCCAACAUUGAAAUUAGCAACUAAUUUAAACUUUGCACGUUGAAAACAUGAGGAGAUCAUGUUAGCUAUGUUUUUGUUGAAGGCUAGCCCUUACCAUUUGCUACUAUAUUUAACUAAAUAUGAUCCAUUACCUCUCCAGAUCUCUGUUUUGAUUUUAUUUUCAGAUGUCAGUCAGUCAGAUAGUCAUAAAAAAUUAAUUUGACAUGUUUCUAAUACAAUAUGCAAUCAGGGACACAGCAGUUCAACAUUACCUUGAUUAGUCGGACUUUAGUAAGGCAGCUAAUAAUAGUGUUCAGCCAAGCUUUCUUUACAACUCACAAAUUUUUCUGUUUGCUACUCAGCCUAAAAUUUUGCAAGCUAGCAUUUGACAAGUUAACAUUUGAAUAAGCAAGACAGGGAAAAAUUUUACACACAUUUUUGAGAGGUUACAUUACAAGCUAGCAGGUUUAUAUUAGCUGUUGUGUUGACAACUAAUCUUUUUUUUUAAUACCAAAUAUGGCUUAAUGGACUUUUUGUCUUUUGAGAUGCUGACUGGUUAGGAAGGAAUAGCAAGAUAACACAACAGAGUUUGAGACAAAGAACACCUGAAAGAACCACCCCCACUAAAGUGUUCAACCACAGAGACAAGAAUUUUACACAUAUGGCUACACAACUUAGACAAACUACACAAAACUUUACUAACACAUUUUAUUGUCUUUUGGCUUGGAUUUUGGAAGAGAGAAAGAGAAGAACACAAAAGAAAAGAGAAUUAGAAAAAGAAAGAAAUCAAAAAAAUUUAAGCUGGCCUUAGAGCAAAAGUAGUGACUUUGGAGAACAUUGAUAGACAAGUAUUGGAGCCAAAAGUGUGGCGUGACUGGUGAGUUGUGAGGACCCAGAAGCAGACACAGAGACAGAGAUCAACUUAAGGUGUAAUUUUAAUGUUCAAACUCAGGUUUAAAGGCAAAAAAGAGGAAGUCCGGGAGGCUGGUUGGCUGGCUGUCGUGUGGGCUGGAGACACUGCAGGAAAAACAGAGGAGAGGGAAGUGAGUGAACAUACAAUGAAUCUGGAGCAGAAUACGAAUACUAAUUUCAAAGGAAGGAGGCCAGGAGACACGUCUAUACCACUUGGAAGUGAAGACAAUACUCAGGUGUUGAGACUGAGGGCUGCUGGCUUCUUAAAGUGCCUUGAUUGUAGAUGAAGAGCAGGUGUGUAGUCUCACUCAGCCUCAGCAACCGGGGGAGGGGAGGAAGCUCUGGAAGAGAGUAAAGCCAGACCAGGCGAACACGGAAACACAGGAAGUCCAGCCAAAAUAAAACAAAAGGAGGAGGCGUCUCACCACAGUACCCCCCUCUCAAUGAAUGCCUCUUGGCGUUUUGCCGGGUUUCUUGGAGUGAGCGGUGUAGAAGUCGUCAAGGAGUUGAUGGUCCAGGAUGAGGGAGCAGGGGAUCCAGGACCGCUCCUCUGGACCGUACCCCUCCCAGUCCACGAGAUAUUGGAAGCCUCGCCCCCGAGGCCGCACAUCAGUAUGCCUAAAGGAUUCGUGGACUCCUCCUCCUGACUGGUGAGCGUGCGCAUUGCUUCAUUCCCUUCCUUGUUGUUGAACUGUGUGUAGCGUUUUGUUCCUCCUGAAAGCGCUCUUGCUAUUUUGGGUUAUUUUCUCUCUGUAAUCUAUCAGUACAUCUGUUUGUUCAAAAAGUCUGUAAGUAUUUCUGAUAGUUUUCACCAAGCACCGUCUUUAUCUCCACUCCGGGUGAUCUCUCUGAUCAUUUACUUUACUAGCUCCUAGCUUCUCUUAGCUCAGCUUCUCUUAGCUACACUUGCUAAUGAUGGCUUCCCCCCGGUCUCCUGCCUCUCCUGCUCGCUUCUGCUCAGUGUGUCAGAUGUUUAGUUACUCCUCGUCCUCUUUAGACGAUAACGAUACCUGCUUUAAGUGUAGUUUAUUCUUAGCUCUGGAGGCGAGGAUUACAGAGUUAGAAAAGCGGCUCCGCACCGAUGCUAGUGUAGCGGUAGCCAGCCAGGACACGGUAGCCGGUGCGGGUCGACCUAGCUUAGCCUCCCCCCCGGCGAAUCCCGAGCAGCCGGGAUGUAGUAGUGCUUGGGUCACUGUGAAAGGGAAGCAUAGCAGUAGGCCUAAGAAGCCCACGUUAGACCACCAUAUUCACAUUUCAAACAAAUUUGCCCCUCUCAGCAACACACCUGCUGAGCCCGACGCUCUUGUGAUUGGAGACUCUGUAGUCCGAAAUGUGAAAUUAGCGAAGUCAGCGGCCACAGUUCAGUGUCUUCCGGGGGCCAGAGCGGGCGACAUCAAAGGUAGUUUAAAACUGCUGGCAAAGGCUAAACGUAAAUUCCGUAAGAUUGUAAUACAUGUCGGCGUUAAUGACUCCCGACGCCGCCAGUCGGAAGUCACUAAAUUGAACGUGGAAUCGGUGUGUGAAUAUGCCAAAACCAUGUCGGACUCCGUAGUUUUCUCUGGUCUCCUGCCUGAUCAGACAACUGAUGAGAUGUGUAGCCGUAUCUCAUCAUUCAACCGCUGGCUGUCGAGGUGGUGUCCGCAAAACGGCGUGGGCUUCAUUGAUAAUUGGAAGUCAUUUUGGGGCAAGCCUGGUCUGAUUAGUUGGGACGGCAUUCAUCCCACUCGAGAUGGAGCGGCCCGUUUAUCCAGAAAUCUGGCCGAUUUUAUUAAUCCGAACCACUGACAAUUCAAAGCCGAGAUCAGGGAGCAGGGCCGCAGUCCUACACGCCCCCCUGCGCCUCCUUUAGAACAGCCUCCCAUCCACUACAGCUUAUACACAGAGACAAGGGAGCAGAGCCGCAGUGUAAAACGCCCCUCUGUACUCCCUUCAGAUCAGCUUCCAAGCUACAGACAGUUUGAUAUAGAGAUCAGGGAGCAGAGCCGCAGUGUAAAACGCCCCACUGUACUCCCUUCAGAGCAGCUUCCUAGCUACAAUCAGUUUGAUAUAGAAAUCAGGGAGCAUAGCCACAGCUCUACACGUUCCUCUGCACUUUUGUUAGAGCAGCCUCCUAGCUACUGUCACUUUAACAUAGAGACUGUGUCUGUCCCUCGUACUCGGCUCUUUCAUUCUAACCGAUCAAUUAAAAAAGGAGUAAAUAACAAGAACCUUACUAGAAUUAAAACUGCUAACAUAGCUGAACCAAGUACUAGUAAGAUAAAAUGUGGUCUACUGAAUAUAAGGUCUCUAAGUUCCAAAUCUGUGUUAAUAAAUGAACUAAUCUCUGAUCAUCGCAUUGAUCUACUCUCCCUAACCGAAACUUGGCUGCGUCAGGAUGAAUAUGUCAGCUUAAAUGAAUCCACUCCUCCUAGCCACCUAAACUUUCACAUUCCUCGGGACUCUGGCCGAGGUGGCGGAGUUGCAGCUAUCUACAAUUCCAGUCUUGGAAUUAACCCAAGACCAAAAUUGGAUUAUAACUCUUUUGAAAGUCUUGUUCUCAGUCUCCGGCAUCCAGCCUCAAAGUCCAUGAGACCACUGGUAUUUGCUAUAGUUUAUCGCCCUCCGAGCCCAUACUCUGAGUUUUUGUCAGAGUUCUCAGAGUUUCUAUCUGAUUUAGUCCUUCUCGCAGACAAAGUCAUCGUCGUUGGUGACUUUGAUAUUCAUGUAGAUGUGGAAAAUGAUAGCCUAAGCAUUUCUUUUUUGUCCUUGCUAGAUUCAAUUGGGUUUACGCAGUGUGUACAUAGACCUACGCACUGCUUUAACCACACCCUCGAUCUUGUCCUGGCUUAUGGCCUUGAAGCUGAAGCCCUGUUAGUCAGCUCAUUAAAUCCUCUUUUAUCUGAUCACUCUCUAGUAACUUUUGAAUUUGUGCUUUCAGGUUACUCUCCUUAUAACAAAGCCGUGCUAACUAGAAAGUUGUCUGAAAAUGCUGUGACGAAGUUCAAGGAGGUAAUUCCGUCUGCUCUAAAUUCUGUGGUUGAGAAGAACUUUCAAAAAAGUUAUAAUCCAUAUUUAAACAUUAGUCCCUUGCAACUCGAUCAGUUCGUCGAUGAUACCUCAGGCACACUGCGAUCAAUUCUAGACUCAGUUGCUCCUCUUCGACAGAAAACUAUUACACGCGAGAGGCUAGCCCCAUGGUAUAAUGCUGAAACCCGUGAGCUGAAACAGUUAUUAAGAAGACGUGAAAGGAUUUGGCGCUCUUCCAAAACAGCUGAAGCUCGUUUUCUCUGGCAGGAAUGUCUUCAUAAAUAUAAGAAGGCCCUACGAUGUGCUCGGACAACUUACUACUCGUCUCUUAUUGAGGAAAAUAAGAAUAACCCCAGAUAUCUCUUCAGCACUGUAGCCAGGCUGACGGACUGUCAGAGCACCGCUGAACCAUGUAUCCCUUUAGCCCUCAGCAGCGAUGACUUCCUGAGCUUCUUCAAUGAUAAAAUCUUAAAAAUAAGAGGUAAAAUUAGUAACCUCUUGCCCUCAUCAGGUGUCUCUCUCUUAGAUAACCCUAAAAAUGUUGAGGAGCCCCUAAGGCCUCUGGUGCACCUUAGUAACUUUGCACCUAUUGACCUUCCUGAGUUAAAGUCAGUGGUGCUGGCAGCCAAACAAUCUACGUGUCUCUUGGACCCAAUUCCAUCCAAAUUGCUGAAGGAAACUCUUCCUUUGAUCAGUACGUCCCUGCUUAAGUUGAUUAACACGUCUUUAUUAACAGGAUAUGUUCCCCAGUCUUUCAAGACUGCAUUGAUUAAGCCUCUCCUUAAAAAACCUACUCUGGACUCAAGCACCCUAGCUAACUAUAGACCAAUAUCCAACCUUCCUUUUAUUUCUAAAGUCCUGGAGAAAGUUAUUGCGAAUCAACUCUGUGAUUUUCUUCAUAACAACAGUUUAUUGGAGGAUUUCCAGUCUGGAUUUAGAACCCAUCACAGCACAGAGACUGCUCUGCUGAAGGUGACAAAUGACCUACUCAUGGCCUCGGACAGUGGUCUUCUCUCUGUUCUAGUCCUGUUAGAUCUUAGUGCUGCAUUUGACACGAUCGACCACUGCAUCCUGCUUCAGAGACUGGAACAAUCUAUAGGCAUAGCAGGAUCAGCCCUCUCCUGGUUUAAAUCGUACCUCACGGAUCGAUCCCAGUUUGUCCAUGUUAAUAAUGAAUCCUCUGCACACACCAAGGUCUGCUACGGAGUGCCGCAAGGGUCACUGCUCAGACCGAUCCUCUUUACCCUGUACAUGCUUCCGCUGGGUAAAAUUAUGAGGAAGUACUCGAUUAAUUUCCACUGUUAUGCAGAUGACACCCAGCUAUACCUAUCCAUGAAGCCAGAGGAAGCAGGCCAGAUUGCCAGGUUGGAAGCCUGCCUCAAGGAUAUAAAAUCCUGGAUGACCAACAACUUUCUGAUGCUCAACUCAGACAAAACUGAAGUUCUGGUCCUCGGUCCUAAACACCUUAGAGAGGCAUUCUCUAGUAAUUUAGUUACAUUUGAUGGCAUCAGCCUGGCAUCCAGCCCCACUGUGCGAAAUCUGGGAGUUUUAUUUGAUCAGGAUUUGUCUUUUAGCUCCCACAUCCAACAAACUUCUAGGAUAGCUUUUUUCCACCUGCGGAAUAUCUCAAAAAUUAGACGCAUACUGUCUCAGAGCGAUGCAGAAAAACUGGUCCAUGCCUUUGUUACCUCUCGACUGGACUACUGUAAUUCUCUCAUAUCAGGCUGCUCCAGUAGGUCUUUAAGGACUCUUCAGCUGGUCCAAAAUGCAGCAGCGCGGGUACUGACUAGAACCGGAGAAGGGAGCACAUCUCUCCUGUCUUAGCCUCUCUUCACUGGCUCCCUAUUAAAUCUAGAAUUGAGUUUAAAAUCCUCCUCGUGAUAUAUAAAGCGCUUAACGGCCAGGCUCCAUCAUAUCUCGACAAGCUUGUUAAACCGUACUUUCCGUCUAGACCGUUACGCUCACAAUCUGCAGGCCUGCUCGUUGAACCAAAUGUCUCUAAAAGUAGUAUAGGAGGAAGAGCUUUCAGCUACCAGGCGCCUCUCCUCUGGAAUCAUUUACCGCUCGAGGUUCGGAGGGCAGACACCCUCUAAACUUUCAAGAGUAGACUUAAAACGUUCCUCUUUGUUAAAGCUUAUAGUCGGGGCUGAUUUGAACCAGCUCUUAGUUAUGCUGCUAUAGGUCUAGACUGCGGGGGCUAUCUGGCACACUGAGCUAGAGUCUGUUUCUAUCUCUUCUUUAGAUCUUUAUGUCCCAUAUAAGUCACUAAUCUCUUAGCUGCCACUGGACUAAUGCUGCAGACGGUCUGCUGCGGAACUGCCUGACCCCAGCUGCAUUAUCCCUGAUUGUCCACCCUGGGCCCUGAGCUCCUCCAUCUCUUUUGCUCCUCUGGACCGUUGCUGCAGACCCCCCCCCCCCUCCCCCUUUGGUCUGCUGCAGACCUGCCUGACUCUAGCUGCAUCGUCUACGAUUGUCCGCCUCAGGCCCUGAGCCCCUUCUUCUCUUGGAUUCCUCUGAACUGUUACUGCAGACAUGAACAUCAGCCUCACUGACAUUACUGACAUUAAUAACAUAAACUAGAACUGACCACGAUUAGGCCUGCUAACUGCUAACUGUAAUCACACUCAAUUAAUUUAACACUGUCCAUAAUCACUCAUAUCCUAACCCUGUAAACUGAACUCUUUUUUCUUCACCAUUACAUGAGCAGUUGUUGUUGUUGUUGCUGUUGUUUCUGCUGUGAAGGCAGGGUGGUCGUCAAUCAACCGAGGGGGGGGGGGGUGGAGGGGCGACGGAAGGAGGGCUCAGGGUGCAUGAGGCAGGCAUGAAAAUCUCUCACCUUUCGGUGCAAUUCGCCGUUUUGAAAUCAAAAAGGGUGACCUUCGUGAAUCGUGUAGAUCCGAGGAGAAAUUUUUUAGGGGGGGGGGGGUCGGGGUCGGGAGAUUUCUUUUAUUAUCAUGUGAUUGACUCAAUACGUAAACUGAGCACUUCAGAAAUCGGCCCUUUAAAUGACACUUGGACGGUCAGUAAAUCCUCCUGGCUCCUUCGCUGACGAGAACCAAUCAUAGGCCAAACUGCGUUCCAUUAUUCCAAUCAUGCACACACUCUUCACGUGUACUUGGAGUGCUCGGAGAGCCUGUGGUAGCAUUGCAAAGCUGCGAGAACGAGAAGCAGGACUUAUCCACGCCGGUGUUGUGCCGUAGAAUGCACCCCUGACAUAGAAAGCCCCCCUGACGGGAGCGCGGUUGAAAGUACACAACAAGGCGAAAUAAUCCAAGUUUUGAGCCGUCUAAAAUAGCGAAAGCGGGCGUCUCGGGUUUACUGCUCUGCAGGGCUCUCAAGUCUCACGCAUUCAGCGUGUGACACACGCAUUCCCACCCGUUCACACGCCACACAUUGUAUUUCUCACGCAUUUAUAUGAACAUGGUGAUGUCUACAAAGUUGCACCUCUGUAACAAUGGAACAGGUGGAAAUCAAGUGAGUUCCUCCGAGAGUUCAGAAGCCAAUCAAAUAAAGUAUAUCUACUGAACAGCCAAUCAAAAAGCAGCAUUGCCGUAGCCGGGUAGAUUUUGAUAUCUUGCGGUUUGACUACAGAAGAAGACAGACACUCGCCGAAAUAGAGCAGGUUUUUAUGAGGACGAGAAAGACCCGAUGAUUACAGUAAGUCGGUAACCUACACAUGCAGAGACCUCAACACCUCAUGGCAUAUAAACUCAUAUGAUAAACUAAAGCCCUAUGCUAUUGCUUUUAACAGCUGCAUUGAUGAAUUUAGCCUCUGUGCAGCCAUUUCCAGCCAUGUUCCCCUCCACAAAAGCAGCAUUGCUUAUAUAUUCUUUUUAAAGUUCUGACAGUGUAACGCUCAUGUACUAAAUGAUUAAGUAUCUCCAUGUUUGUGAAACCUAUACUAAAGUACAAUUCAUCUAAAUGCUCCUCAGUGCUGAUUUUAGCAACUCUCCUCCACAACAGGUAACUACGACUUUAUUCUUAUAUAUUAAUGACUUUAUUCUCCUAAAUAAUAACUUAUACUAUUAUACUAAUAAUUAUCUUCAAUCACUCUUCACCCCCUCCGCUUCUCACCUUUUCAACCCCUGACCCAUUUUCAUGCCUGAUGAGGUGACAGGCUUUAUCAGGGAGACAUGAAAUGUGGGGUGAAUUUUGAGGGUUGAAGGAAUUUUUAUUCUUACCACUGAAGGGUUGAUGAUUUUCUGGAUAGGAAAGGGACCAAUGAAGCCGGGGGACAGCUUGCGGGACUCUGUCUGCAGGGGAAGGUCACGGGACGAUAACCAGACCAUCUGACUGGGACGAUAGUCUGGUGCUGGAGAGCGGUAACAACAGCCAGGCGUUUGUUGCGCUCGGCCGUGCGGGUGAGUGCGGCCCUGGCGGAUCUCCACACCUCCCGUAGAUGCCCAAUGUGCUCCCUCACUGACGAGACGGCCACCGGGUGCUCCUGUUCGGGAAACAGGGGGGGCUGGUAACCAAAACAGCACAUGAAGGGAGACAUACCUGUGGCCGAAGAGGUGAGGGAGUUAUGGGCGUAUUGGAUCCAUGGGAGGUGCGUACUCCAGGACGCUGGAUGAUGGGCCGCCACACACCACAGGGCCGACUUAAGGUUUUGAUUGGCCCACUCCGUCUGGCCGUUGGUCUGCGGGUGGUAACCCGAGGAGAGGCUAGCUGCUGCGCCCACUGCCUGGCAGAAAGCUUUCCAGACCUGACAGGAGAACUGGGGACCACGAUCUGACACUAUGUCAAGGGGGAUACCAUGUAGUUGGAACACAUGAGAUACCAGGAGGUUAGCAGUUUCUAAAGCAGACGGGAGCUUGGGUAACGGGACAUAAUGCACAAAUUUGGAAAAUCUGUCAAUCAUGGUGAGUAUGACUGUGUUACCUUCAGAAGGAGGGAGACCAGUGACGAUAUCUAGGGCUAUGUGAGACCAGGGGCGUGAGAGCACAGGAAGGGGACGCAGCAAGCCAGCCGGAGGUUGGUGGGAGACUUUGCCUCGGGCACAGACGGAGCAGGCAGCAACAAACGCCCGUACGUCCCGGACCAUUCCCGGCCACCAGAACUGCUGCUGGAGGAAUUGGAGGGUGCGUUGAAACCCGGGGUGACAGGUGAGUUUGGAGGAGUGCUCCCACUGUAGGACCUGGGAACGUGCAACCUCAGGGACAAAUUUUCUGUCAGGCGGGCCAGUUCCCGGGUCUGGGUGGUUCCGGAGGGCCUGGUCCACGAUGGUGUCGAUCUCCCAAGAGGCGGAGCCGACGACACAGGAGGCAGGGAGGAUGGUGUCUGGUUCGCUGGGGUCCAAGGUAGCCGAGGAAUGGAUCCGAGAUAGGGUGUCUGGUUUGAGAUUGCGGGAGCCUGGACGAUAGGAGAGGGUGAAGCUGAAUCUACUGAGGAAGAGGGACCAGCGGGCUUGCCUGGAGUUGAGGCGUCGAGCGGAGCGGAGGUAUUGCAGGUUCUUGUGGUCAGUCCAGAUGAGAAAAGGUUGUUGUGCUCCUUCCAGCCAGUGUCUCCAUUCUUGUAGUGCCCACACGACAGCCAGCAACUCACGGUUUCCCACGUCGUAGUUUCGUUCAGUGGGUGAGAGUUUCCAGGAGAAGUAGGCGCAAGGAUGGAGCUUCCGGGUCUCAGAAUCCUUCUGUGAGAGGACGGCCCCCACUCCAGAGUCCGAAGCAUCGACCUACACCACGAACUGAAGAGAGGGAUCCGGGUGUUUGAGCACCAGGGCGGAGAUGAAGAGGGACUUGAGCUGACAGAAGGUGGCGUCUGCUUCGGGGGUCCAGGAGAACGGGACCUUGAGGGAUGUGAGACGGGUAAGGGGCACAGCCACCUUGCUGUAGUUUCUGAUGAAGCGCCGGUAGAAGUUGGCGAAGCCGAGGAAUCACUGGAGGUCUUUGCAGGAGGAGGGAGUGGGCCAGUCACGGACGGCACAGACUUUCUCUGGGUCUGGGCGUAGCUCCCCCUGGGCGAUGAUGUAUCCAAGGAAACUGACGGAGGAGGCGUGGAACUUUCCCUUCUCGGGUUUGACGAAAAGGCGGUUUUCGAGGAGGCGCUGGAGGACGAGUCGAACGUGCUGCUGGUGUUCUUCCAGGUGGCGGGAGAUGAUCAGGAUAUCGUCCAGAUAGACGAAGGCGAAUUGGUUGUUCAUGUCACAGAGGAUGUCAUUAAUGAGAGCCUGGAACACAACGUGGGCAUUGGUGAGGCCAAAGGGCAUGACGAGGUACUCGAAGUGGCCCAUGGGUGUAUUGAAGGCCGUCUUCCACUCGUCCCCCUCCCUGAUGUGAACCAGGUGAUAGGCAUUCCGGAGGUCCAGUUUGGAAAAGAUGGUGGCCUUGCAGAGAGGUUCAAAGGAGGGAUCGAUGAGUGGCAGGGGAUAUUUGUUUUUUAUGGUGGUCUCAUUGAGUCCGCGAAAGUCGAUGCAGGGAUGGAGAGAGGAAUCUUUUUUCUUCACAAAGAAGAAACCAGCGGCAAGGGGAGAGGUUGAGGGCCGGAUGAGUCCAGAUGUCAAGGAGUCCUGGAUGUAUUCCUCCAUGGCCUCUCGUUCGGGCCGAGAGAUACAGUCUGCUACUGGGGAGAGGGGCGUCAGGGAGCAAAUCUAUGGCGCAGUCAUAUGGGCGAUGAGGAGGAAGGACGAGAGACUGCUCCUUACUGAACACCAUGGCCAGAUCAUGGUAAAUGGGGGGGAACCGAGGUGAGAGAUGGCGGUGGAGAUGCUGGCCUCUGUAAGUGGAUGUAGGGAUUGGCGGAGCGGAGGCAGUGGGAGUGACAGUGAGGACUCCAAGCGUAGAUCGAAGAUGUGGACCAGUUCAUUUGGGGGUUGUGGAUCUGCAGCCAAGGGAGUCCCAGCACCAGGGGUGAGUGUGGAGAGGGAAGCAGGAACAACCGGGUGUCCUCCCGAUGGUUUCCCGACAGGAUGAGGGUGAGAGGAGCAGUGCAGUGGGUUAUGGUGGCUAUAACCCUGCCAUCGAGAGCGGUGACCUUACGGGGAACUGGGAGUACCUCCAGGGGGAGCUGAAGCCGCACUGCCAGUCCGGCGUGAAUGAAUUUGUCAUCCACCCCAGAGUCAAUGAGGGUUUGGAGGGAAGUGGAUUCUUUUCCCCACAGGAGACAAGCAGGUACCGAGAUGCGUCUAGGAGAGCUAGGAACAGAGGAGGUGUGGCUCAUCAGGGUGCCCUCUGUCACUGAUGAGCCUGGCCGUUUAACUUAUUAGGACAGUUGGGCAGAAAGUGGCUGGCCUGGCCACAAUACACACAGAGCUUCUGCUCUAUCCUUCGUCUCUGUUCAUCGGGAUGUAAUUUGGUGCGGCCAAUUUGCAUGGGUUCCUCGGCAGAGGGCGCCGGAUCCGGAAAGACUGAGGGCUGCAGAGGAGACCCGCUGACCGCAACAGAGGAUGGGGAGUCUAUGCUAUGUGCAGGGGAAUGUGCUUUCUUCUCCCUCCGUCUCUCCCUGAGGCGAUUGUCCAUCCUAAUGGCUAAUGUGAUUAGCUCCUCAAGGGAGGAGGGCUCAUCCCGAGCUGCAAGCUCGUCUUUAAGCUGUUCGGACAGACCACGAGUGAAUAUCCCCUUUAAUUCUAGUUCCCCCCACCCACUUCUGGACAGCUUGCUGAAACCUAUCCGGGUUUGCUGGGUCCAUUAUCCUGGCCUGAGUAUUCUGUGGCGUGACUGGUGAGUUGUGAGGACCCAGAAGCAGACACAGAGACACAGAGACAGAGAUCAACUUUAGGUGUAAUUUUAAUGUCCAAACUCAGGUUUAAAGGCAAGAAAGAGGAAGUCCGGUAGGCUCGUUGGCUGACUGUCGUGUGGGCUGGAGACACUGCAGGAAAAAAAGAGGAGAGGGAAGUGAGUGAACAUACAAUGAAUCUGGAGCAGAAUUACGAAUACUAAUUUCAAAGGAAGGAGGCCAGGAGACACGUCUAUACCACUUGGAAGUGAAGACAAUACUCAGGUGCUGAGACUGAGGGCUGCUGGCUUCUUAAAGUGCCUUGAUUGUAGAUGAAGAGCAGGUGUGUAGUCUCACUCAGCCUCAGCAACCAGGGGAGGGGAGGAAGCUCUGGAAGAAAGUAAAGCCAGACCAGGCAAACACGGAAACACAGGAAGUCCAGCCAAAAUAAAACAAAAGGAGGAGGCGUCUCACCACACAAAAGUACCAUAUUUGUCUUUCAAAUGAUUCAGAGUAUUAGUUUUGCUUCCACCAAAAUAACAAGUACAAGUUUGGCAUUAGGUUUAGUGGGUGUUUUCAGUGUGGCCACUGCUGUCGAAAUGCUUUAAAACUCCACUUCAGAAACUAAUUUAUGACAUAAUAGAGACUAGGUUUUUAUUUUAUAAAGCCUAAGGAUAGAAUGACAAAUACAUGCAGGUUCUGCUCAGGAUUUUGAUCUGUAGGAUUGUUACUCUACCAACAAGACUUCUUUGAUAUAAUAUUGAUCCUUUUUGGCUUACACAAACUUUUGGCCUGGAUCUGAAGACUGAGGCAGUAACAAGGAAACAGAGCUGGCAUUAUAAAUAAACACAGCUCUCUAAUAGACCUGAAACUGAAGAGUUACAACACCACCCACUCCUUAUUUUCUUUGGUUGGUCUGCACUCAGACCAAGGGAGUGUUGAUCCAUUUAUAGGUCUCCAUAUUGUUAAGUUCACUUGAGAAGAUGCAAAGUAAAGUAAUAUACACUGGCCGUUGCUCUCACAGUUCAUAGGCAACUAUUGCGAAGGGUUAGAUGUAGACUAGGUCUUAGUAGCAAUUUGUUUUAGACAGAAGUGGGUCAGGGAGAGGGAUUCUGCUGUGAAAAUGUCUGUGUUCAGGCUGCCUGUAACACUAUGCUGUUAUAAAUAAGUUAUGCAAAUGGAAACUCUACACACUCUGCACACAGUCUUGCAUAAAUGGAUUUCUAUGGAUACACUUAAUGGUACAGACCUUUAUAUCUUGCUUUUUGUUUUACACAAAACUUCUGUCACACACACACUGGGUGGUCUUUACUUUGAGCACCUGGGAGUGUGUAGAUUGGUGUUACUGUAGAGAAAAUAAGAACAGGUAAAGGUUAUAUGAGAGUAGGUGGUCAUCCCAACAUGGUGAGCAAGAAUCCAAUGAGAGGCUGUCAUAUAGUCUGAAUUAUGGUUGUGGAUUUCCGCAGGAGGGGGACACCUCAAACAGUUCCAGUGAACAUACAGGGUCUGGACAUCGAGAUGGUGGAGUCCUACAGAUUCCUGGGUGUCCACCUCAACAACAAACUGGACUGGUCAACAAACACAGACGUUCUGUACAAGAAGGGCCAAAGUCGUCUCCACCUGCUGAGGAGACUGAGGUCCUUUGGAGUGUGCAGGACUCUGCUCAGGACUUUCUAUGACUCUGUGGUAGCAUCUGCACUUUUCUAUGCAGUGGUCUGCUGGGGGGCAGGGAGCACCAAGAGGGACAGGGAGAGACUGAACAGACUGGUCAGGAGGGCCAGUUCUGUCCUAGACUGUUCUUUGAACUCCCUGGAGGAGGUGGGUGAGAGGAGGAUGUUAACAAAGCUUAUAUCCAUCAUGGACAAUCCCUCUCACCCACUGCACCAGACUGUGGGGGCUUUAGGCAGCUCCUUCAGCAGCAGACUGAGACUCCCACCCUGCAGGACGGAGCGCUACCGCAGAUCAUUCCUCCCCUCUGCAAUAAGACUUUACAAUGAACAGUAACAAAACUG